Molecule: long non-coding RNA, 630 nt
Organism: Corythoichthys intestinalis (scribbled pipefish)
Lineage: Eukaryota; Metazoa; Chordata; Actinopteri; Syngnathiformes; Syngnathidae
Exons: 3
Source: RefSeq, a predicted model, not a curated record
CAGUGAGAAAAAUGAUCGGCGAUCGACUAGCAGUGUCUGCUGAAUGAAGGAAAAGGGAAAGCUCGCCACUUUGCCUCAUUCUCCUUUGAGCUAUUGAAGGCAAAACAUCGUGGUUUGAGUGUUCAUUCUGAUAUCCCUAUCCAGCUUUGUUUGAUCCCCGGCAGGCGCAGCUUGUCAGUGUAUGCUGGUGAAACGUCCCUAAUCAAAGAAUCUGUCGGAGCGAGCCGGAGCGGCGUUCCGCGGGGCUGAGCAUCAUCACGGCCUUUCAUGUCGCGCGGCUGAAAGGAGAAAUGGCCGAGAAGGAUCUUUAGCAGGAUUUUUGGCUCAAGAUUGAACACAAUCUGUCGAAUAACACCAAGAUGAGCGCCAGGCGGAAGAGUGGAAUGAAAGGCAAACAAAAAAGGAGAGAGUGCACAUGGAAAUGAAGAUACAAGGCUUGCUCCUGAAUCCAGCACACUUUAAUCCCAUUAACACCGACUAAAUAAACCAUUUGUUUUAAGCUUGCCACUGGUGCUGUUUAUGAUAAUGGGCCGCUCGCUGGAGGCGAUUUCACAAGACUUUUGGAGGGCACCGGUUAAUAAUUAGAUUUAAUAAGGAAGUCAAUUUCCAUCCUCAUUUGAAAUAAAAAUA